AGCGUACGCGGGGGAUGCCUAGGCGCUGAAGGCCGAAGAAGGACGCGGCGAGCGGCGAAACGUUCAGGGGGAGCUGCUGGCAAGCGAUGAACCCUGAGUCUCCGAAUGGGGCAACCCCUCCGGCGUGAUGGCCGGAGAUCGGCGGUCUGACAGGACCGCACGAGGGGCAGCGGGCGAACUGAAACAUCUUAGUAGCCCGACGAAGAGAAAUCAACCGAGAUUCCCUCAGUAGUGGCGAGCGAACGGGGAAGAGCCUAAACCGUCGCGCGACCUGGCAACAGGUCCGAGGCGGGGUUGUAGGGCCGGCGUGGGGCCAGGCCCGAGCGCUGGGAUGCUGGACCCGAAGUGGCUGGAACGCCACACCAGAGGGGGUGAGAGUCCCGUAGGGGGACAGCAACCCCAGGGCUUGACGUCGGACCCUGAGUACCACAGGGCACGAGGAACCCGGUGGGAAGCAGGGGGGACCACCCUCCAAGGCUAAAGACCUUCAGCGACCGAUAGCGGACAGAGUACCGUGAGGGAAAGGUGAAAAGCACCCCGAGAGGGGGAUGAAAGAGUGCCUGAAACCGCGGACGCGAGCAGCAGUCAGAGACCCAUGCCGUGGCAGACCGGCGAGCGGGUCCCAGGCAACUGGGGCCGGCCCGAGCAGGCGCCACGUGCGGGUUGAUGGCGUGCCUUUUGUAGAAUGAUCCGGCGAGUGCAUCGUCGUUGCCACAGGUUAACCUCCCCACAGAGGAGGGGAGCCGGAGGGAAACCGAGUCUGAACAGGGCGCAGCCACCAGCUCUCUGGUGGCAGGUAGCGGCGAUGGGACCCGAAACCGUGUGAGCUACCCAUGGCCAGAGUGAAGCGGAUGUGACAAUCCGUCGAGGCUCGCACCCACUGGUGUUGCAAAACCAGGGGAGGAGCUGUGGGUAGGGGUGAAAUGCCAAGCGAACACGGAGAUAGCUGGUUCUCCCCGAAAUGCAUGGAGGUGCAGCCCGCCGCGGCAGCGUUGGGAGGUAGAGCGCUGUGUGGGUGCGGGGCCAGGAGCUGGUUACCAAGCUCAUGCAAACUGCGAAUGCCCAGCGCGAGUAGCGGGGCGGCGGAGUGAGUCUGGCGGGGAUAACCUUGUCAGACGAGAGGGAAACAACCCAGACCACCGGCUAAGGUCUCCAAGGGGCUGCUGAGUGGCAAAGGAGGUCAGCUGGCCCAGACAGCCAGGAUGUUGGCUUAGAAGCAGCCAUCAUUGAAAGAGUGCGUAAUAGCUCACUGGUCGAGCGAGCUGGCGCCGAGAACACCAGGAGGCUGAAGCAGCCGACCGAAGCCGUGGAGCCUCUCGCAAGAGAUGAGAGGCUGGUAGGGGAGCGUUCCGUCAGCCGAGAAGCCGGACCGCAAGGACCGGUGGAGCGGACGGAAGUGCGAAUGCCGGAAUGAGUAGCGCCAAGGAGGGUGAGAAUCCCUCCCACCGAAAGCCUCAGGGUUCCUGGGCACCGUUGAUCGACCCAGGGUUAGGCGGGCCCUAAGCCGAGGACGGUAGGUCGUAGGCGAUGGAGAGCAGGUGGACAAUCCUGCCCCAGAGGACGUCGUCAGGAGCGAAGGGGGGACGCGGUAGGGAAGGUGAACCCAUCGAGUGGACAGGAUGGGCUGCCUGGUGGAAGCGAGGCAUCGAGGAAAAGCCCGAUGCCACCAGACGUGACCCCAGGCACGAGCCUCCGCGAGGAGGCGACAAGUCAUCGACCCCCAGGCCGCCAAGAAAAGCCUCUAGCCAGACGUACCUCUGCCCGUACCGCAACCCGACACCGGUAGGCAGGGGGGCAAUCUCCCCAGGUGAACGAGUGAGCCUCUGUCAAGGAACUCGGCAACUUGGCCCCGUACCUUCGGAAGAAGGGGCGCCUUCGUAGCUGGCGCUGACCGGAGGGGUGCUCGCAAGGGCAUCCGAAGCAGGUCAGGGUUGGUGAGGAGGCCGCAGGAAUAGGCCCAGGCGACUGUUUACCAAAAACACAGGUCCCUGCGAACGCGGAAGCGGAGAUAUAGGGGCUGACUCCUGCCCAGUGCCGGAAGGUGAAGCUGGCGGGUGCACGAAGCUCGCCAGGGAAGCCCCGGUGAACGGCGGCCGUAACUCUAACGGUCCUAAGGUAGCGAAAUUCCUUGUCGGGUAAGUUCCGACCCGCACGAAAGGAGGAACGACCUGGGCGCUGUCUCGACAGAGGGCUCGGCGAAAUUGCAGUACCCGUGAAGAUGCGGGUUACCCACGACAGGACAAAAAGACCCCGUGGAGCUUGACUCUAGCCUGGCCUGGUGCCGAGGGCACACCUGCGGAGGAUAGGUGGGAGCCGAAGAAGCCGCCCUCGUGGGGGCGGUGGAGGCGCCGGUGAAAUACCACUCUGGUGUGUUGUCGGGACUCAUGCUGAGGCGGUAGAACCCGCCAGCAGACAGGGCUAGGUGGGGAGUUUGACUGGGGCGGUCGCCUCCUAAAGGGUAACGGAGGCGCCCAAAGGUUCCCUCAAGGUGGAUGGACAUCACCUGAGGCGUGUACAGGCAAAAGGGAGCUUGACUGCGAGGCCAACAAGCCGAGCAGGGACGAAAGUCGGGCUGAGUGAUCCCACAUGUCCGAGUGGAAGGCGUGUGGCGCAACGGACAAAAGCUACCCCGGGGAUAACAGGCUGAUCCUGCCCAAGAGUUCCCAUCGACGGCAGGGUUUGGCACCUCGAUGUCGGCUCGGCGCAUCCUGGGGCUGGAGUAGGUCCCAAGGGUUGGGCUGUUCGCCCAUGAAAGCGCCACGUGAGCUGGGUUCAGAACGUCGUGAGACAGUUCGGUCUCUAUCCGUCGUGGGCGAAAGGAAGCGUGAGGGGAGUCCGCUCUAGUACGAGAGGACCGAGAGGGCUUGACCGCUGGUGAGCCGGUUGGCCUGCCCAGGCCAGAGCCGGGUAGCUACGUCAGGCGAGGAGAAGCGCUGAAAGCAUCUAAGCGCGAAGCCGACCCCAAGAGCCGCUUCCCCCUCCAGGCUGGACCCCCAGCCGGAGAUAAGGUCCCAGGCAGAUCACCUGGUCGAUAGACCGGAGGUGGACACCUGGUAACAGGUGCAGCUGACCGGCCCUAAUGACCGAACGGCUUGUGC
This 3098-nucleotide ribosomal RNA is filed under the name Thermogemmatispora carboxidivorans. RNAcentral's name for it is "bacterial LSU rRNA". It matches the Rfam family "Bacterial large subunit ribosomal RNA". Lineage: Bacteria; Bacillati; Chloroflexota; Ktedonobacteria; Thermogemmatisporales; Thermogemmatisporaceae. The record is from RNAcentral.